UACGUAGGGGGCAAGCGUUGUCCGGAAUCAUUGGGCGUAAAGAGCGUGUAGGCGGCCCGGUAAGUCUGGUGUGAAAUCUUGGGGCUCAACCCCAAGCUGUCACUGGAUACUGUCGGGCUUGAGUCCGGAAGAGGAGAGUGGAAUUCCUGGUGUAGCGGUGGAAUGCGCAGAUAUCAGGAGGAACACCUAUGGCGAAGGCCGCUCUCUGGUACGUGACUGACGCUGAGACGCGAAGGCGUGGGUAGCAAACAGG
Molecule: ribosomal RNA, 253 nt
Filed under: uncultured bacterium
Lineage: Bacteria
Description: partial 16S ribosomal RNA
Rfam family: Bacterial small subunit ribosomal RNA
Source: RNAcentral